GUGAAUUUAACCAGAUCGUAAUGUUUUGAUUUUACGGUUAUGUGCAAGUUUAUUUGUGGAUCUUAAUUGAUUUUUGAUCGAGUACCAUAGGGUGCAAGGUAGACAUUUACAGUAUAUAGACAAUAACUGUUUAGUGUCUUUAAAUAUCAGCUGUAUUUGUACGAGGCUAGGAAACAAGGUGUAUGCGAGCUUUUAGCGAGCUACUACACCUGUUUCGAGCCGAGUACAAAUACAGCUGAUAUUUAAAGACACUAAACAGUUAUUGUCUUUAUCCUGCAAUUAAUUCUGUAUAUUGUUUGUGUUUUGAAAGACACAAAAACUAACAUAUUUAGCAUUUAUUUUCGAUUUGUAAUCCCUUGAGGCCCGCGUAGUAAUAUCAAAAUCACACAUUACGCUGAAGACGGGUUCGCAAAAAAGAAUCUCGAAUGGUCAAUAAUAAUACA
RNAcentral lists this long non-coding RNA (443 nucleotides) under Mytilus galloprovincialis (Mediterranean mussel). The record is from RNAcentral. Lineage: Eukaryota; Metazoa; Mollusca; Bivalvia; Mytilida; Mytilidae.